AUCUUUCUAGUAUUAAACCAGUAUAAGUGACUUCCAAUCACCCGGUCUUGGAUAAAGUCCAAGGAGAGAUA
This 71-nucleotide transfer RNA is filed under the name Odontobutis obscura. RNAcentral's name for it is "tRNA-Gly". The record is from RNAcentral. Lineage: Eukaryota; Metazoa; Chordata; Actinopteri; Gobiiformes; Odontobutidae.